GAAAUACCAUAUGGGAUUCCAAUCAGAAACCAGGAGUAGAGAGGCCGAGGUAUGAGAAAACCUGGUGAACUCAGUCUGACUUUGAGCCAGGACUUGAAGCAGACACUAUGGCUCAUGCAGAAAAGAAACUUCUUCCCACAAGACUGCCAGCGAAAUUUUGCAGACUCAAGAUGUUCGGAGAGUUUGGACAAUCAUCACAGUUUUUGGACGCCUAUCUGAGGUAAACAUAAAGCCAAACCUUGACAGUCUCAUUAGUAGUGUAAGUAUGAUUCAAUAUGAGGAAUUUCUGCUCUUGGCUGGUUGAUAUAAGAUAAUUAUAAGAUUUCUUAAUUGAAAUUUAAUUGGAGAUACAAAGUGAUACAUGGCACUUUGUAAAGCAUCACAGCUAAACAAUUUGCUCCAGUAUACCAGAUGAGCAGAAAACAAAUCAAUACAUUCUUAGAACUGCUAAGUGAAAAUUAUGUAGAAUAAUUGCUUCAAUCAUUGAAAAUACAAUUUUUUAGCAGUAUGUUUGUGUAACCAAAAGUAUGUUAUUAGUUAUUGAGUGAGUAAAGCAUUUGUCAUCACAGUUUGCACUUGAAAGGGUUACAGGUAAGAGCUGUUUUUUGUGCCCAAUUAUUUCCUCAGUCCUGUGUUCUCACCCUAAGCAACUUAAUGAAAUUGGAAAGGCAUAUCCUUUUAGAAAUGUAUCUGUAGUAAAGAUAAUUUGAAAGCACUAAACUCUAGAAAAUCUUUUCCGCUGGGCGCGGUGGCUCACGCCUGUAAUCCCAGCAUUUUGGGAGGCCGAGGCAGCGGAUCACAAGGUCAGGAGAUCAGACCAUCCUGGCUAACACGAUGAAACUGUCUCUACUAAAAAUACAAAAAAAUUAGCCGGGCGUGGUGGCAGGCGCCUAUAGUCCCAGCUACUCGGGAGGCUGAGGCAGGAGAAUAGCUUGAACCCCGGAGGUGGAGCUUGCAGUGAGCCGAGAUCGCGCCACUGCACUCCAGCCUGGGAGACAGAGUGAGACUCCGUCUCAAAAAAAAAAAAAAGAGAGAACCUUUUCAAUGCUGAUGUAGUUAGGCUUUGUGUCUCCACCUAAAUCUCACCUUGAAUUGUAAUCCCAUAAUCCCCAAGUGUCAAGGGAGAGACCAGGUGGAGGUAAUUGAAUCAUGGAGGUCGUUUCCCCCAUGCUGGUCUCGUGAUAGUGAGUGAGUUCUCGCGAGAUCUGAUGGUUUUAUAAGGGGCUCUUCCUCGCUUUGCUUGACAUUUCUUCCUGCCUUGUGCUGCGUUGUGUGGAAGGUGUCUUGCUUUCCCUUUGCCUUCCGCCAUAAUUGUAAGUUUCCUGAGACCUCUCCAGCCAUGAACUGUGAGUCAGUUAAACCUCUUUCCUUUAUAAAUUACCUAAUCUCAGGCAGUUCUUUAUAGCAGUGUGAACACGGUCAAAUACAAAUGCUAGAAUGUUUCAAAAGGUAAUCCCAGGAUGGUAAUAAUGCAGGAGGGCAAUGCUCUGUGGCUUAAUGCCUUAGGUGCCCAGAGACCUUUAUCCUAAACAGAGGGAAAACCUUGUUACAGGGUUUGUUGCAAACUGAGAAGAAAGCCUUCUGUAGCAUGUCAUUUCCUUUCGUUUUGUUUUGCUGGAAGGGCAACAGGAAUCUAUUUGGGUUAAAGGACAGGCAGAAGUGGAACAUCAGAAGUCAGGGGUCUUUUGGGAGAGUCCUGAGUAGCAGGAGUCAUAGAUCUGGAAUAAUUAGAUUAUUAAAAUGAACACUUGAACAAAGGGGAACAGAAAGCUGUUAACCUUAAGAAAAGAUUCCAGACAAUUCUGUUUGACUCUCUUUUUUAUCAAAACAAAUAAAGGAGUAUAAGUUAAAAUGUAUUCAGUGAAGUCUCUAACCGGCACCAAGGUACUGAGAGUUCUUUAAGUGUUCUUGUAAAUUACACACCACGUUGCUUAUGUGAUUAUUAAUGCGAUGAUGUAAUAGUUGUAUUUUUAUGUACAAAGAAUACGAGCCUGGAUUGUGUGCUAAAUUCCUGCUUUUGCUCACUUACCCCUUAUAGACAGCAUAAAGGAGGACUCUUGGUCAGAUAUUUGUAGAGGUGGCUAUAGUUCCCUUUAUUUGCCUAAACUUGCUGAGUUUCUUAAGAGGGAUGCAAUGGGUGUUCAAAUGGAACAAUUCUCACCGUGGUGGCUUCAGUAUUGCAAGGUGUUAAACACCCCAUCCUACUAAAUGCCACAAUCACUUUCCAUCCAUUGUGAUACCCACCAUGUGAUAACUCUGCACAUUUCCAAUCUCUUCUUGGAAAGUGGUAUACGCAUACACCCCUGAAGUCUUCCCCUAGCCCCAGCCACCACCAUAUAAGAACCACUGGCCUAGGAUAUGUGGGUUCGGUUAUCUGAAUCUCAAUUACAGAAAAUCAACAGCACUUCUGGUAGUAGAAGGUAACCCAGUUAAGAAUUAAAAAGUAUAGACUGUAGUUUGAAUACUGAAUCUUUUGGAAAAUCAUUGAAUUAUUUGAACCUCAGUUUACUCAUCUAUUAAGUGGUAAUCCACCCUCUCUCCCAUUUAAGCCACUUAAUUCUUGUGAAAAUCAAGAGAUCUUAUGUACCUUAAAAUACUUUAAAAAAUAUAAAAACCUACAUAAGGAAAUAAUAUAGUCAUUCCUCAGUAUCUAUGGGGGAGUGGUUCCAGGACCUCCCUUGGAUACCAAAAUUCAGAGAUGCUCAAGUUCCUAAUAUAAAAUGAUGUAGUAUUUGCAUAAAACCUAUGCACAUCCUCCAGUAUACCUUAAAUCACUUCUAGAUUACUCAUAAUACCUAAUAUGAUGACUGCUAUGUAAAUAGUUGUUAUACUGUAUUAUUAAGGAAUAAUGACAAGAAAAAAGGUCUGUAAAUGUUCAGUACAGACACCAUUUUUUUUCAAAUAUUUUCAAUCUGAGAUUGGUUGAAUCCACAGAUGCAGAUAUGGAGGUUGUAUUAGGUUGUAUUAGGAAUAAUCCUCAGUAGUCAUUAUCUUUGGGUAAUGCGAUAAAAGACAGCCAAUUAGUAUGAGAUAACCUAUUAUGUAAACUGUUCUAGUAGCUAUAGAGGAUUCAAAGGAAAAUAAGACAGAAUUGGUGCCCCUGUGGCUGUCAUGACAAAGAUACAAUGUAUGUGGUUGAAAAGAUGUCAGUAUGAAGGUAAUAAAUGAUUAGAAGCAGACAUGUGCUAUUACAAUAUGUACUGGAGAAGUUCAGAAGAGAAAAUGUGUUCAGUGGAAGAUACAAAAAGCCAAAAAUGAUGAAGGAACCACUUCCCCUAUUAUACCAUUUGAAAUGAAUAGUUCUUUUUCAUCAUAAUGCAUAUUAGAAAAGUAUCAAUCUUCUCCAUAUGCAUAUUUUAUAGGUCAUAGAUCUUGAGAAUAUAAAUGAUUAACACUUUCUUCUGUGGGAAAUAUUAUCAGAUAACAAUUCAUUUCCCUAAUAAGACAGACAAAUGAUUGAAAGGCAAGAAGGUAUUAGUUUCAUAGUGCCACUGCUGAUAUGUCCUCUGACUGACUCUCAGAUGAACACGUUCGCUGAUGGUGUUUUUGUCUUCCCUGUCUGGUCUCUGGCUCUGGUCUUGCUCCUGGUGGCUUUGGUCUCACCUCUGUGUCCUGACUUCAGCCCAUCUUUUCCUUGAACUUGGUAUUCCUGGUUCAGGAAUUGACCUCAGCUUGGAAUUCUGGAAACUCAUCCCUAAGGGGUGGACUCCUUGACUCCAUGUUUUCUCCAGAAAUCUAGAUAAAGUGCAACCUUGUAAGGGGUCUUCUACCUUUGCCUUGCUUAAGAUGUUAAAAGCCCCUUGGUAAUGAAGAGAUGCCUGUAUGAGAACAACCUGAUGAACCAUAAUAUAUUAUACAAGAUUAUUUGGCCAUUCUAAUAUUUAUUAACCUGAAAUUCCUGAAGAAGAAAUGACAUUGUCAGUUAUCAAAAACUUGCAUUUCAACUCUUCCUUCUUGUCUUCGUCAAUGUGGCAAAUCCUUCUCCUUUUUGGAGAAAAUGUCCUCCUUUAGCUGUGACAUUGAUCUCUCUAGAUCCUCCUUUCCGUAUGAACACUCCUUCUCCCGCAGCACUGGCUUCUCUUCCCUCAGUUUCCCCUGGUGCAGGCUCUCCACAUGGAUCUGUCAUGAGUCCUUUUCUUUCUUGUCUGCUCACCCCAUGGCCCAGCUAUCUCUCCAGUCAACAUCUCUCCCAAGCUCCAGCCCCCAUUUCAGACCACAGGCCAGACCCUUUAUAUGAAUGCUCUUCCUAUACCUCAGACUCAAGUCCGUAACGUAAACAUCGUAUGGACUUCUCCGUAACAUCCAACAGAAAUCUAUUCCUCCUUUGGUCUUUCUCAUCUGAAUGGCAUAAUUAUCUAGUCAUCUAGUCAUUCAGACUUGUAGGAAUCACCUUUAUUGUUUCUUUCUCCUUUAUUCUUAAUUUCAAUAACUCACCAAAUCAUGAAAAAUAUCUUCAAAACAUUCCUUGAUUCAGGCCCCUAAUUUCUAUUACUGUAGGUUCUUCCCCUCUCAGUUUCUCGUCAGUGACUGUUAUAAUAACAUUCUAAUUAGGUAACAGCGUCUAGUCUCUUUGCCUACUAAUUAAUUCUGUCCAUGGAUAGAAUUAAUUAGAAGGGAAAGAUAUUUUUAAAAUAAUUUAGUUAUAAAAGUAAUAAAAGAUGAUCUUAAAAAUUAAAACAACAGCAAGGUAGAAAGUAAAAAGCCAGUCUUCUCCCUCAACUCCCAAAGGUUUGAUGUAUAUUUUUCCAGAUGUCUUUCUAAAACAUAUACACACAAAUAUGCUUUCCAUUAUUGUCCUCGAGGGUUUUAGUGCUUCUGGUGAAAUAUCAGGUGUUAGUCUGAUUCUUCAUUUUGGGUAACCUAUUUUAAUUCUUUAGAAGCUUUUAGAAUUGUCUCUUCAUCUUGAGAUUGCAUCAAGAGCUUUAUUAUUUUUUAAACAUCUAUCCUGCCCAAUGCUUGAUUGAUGUGUCUUUCAAUCAAUCAGAAGGUUCCUGUAUUUCUUCAGCAAAAGCUAAUUUUCUUCUAAUGUUUCUUUCAAUGGUUUCCCUUUCUUUCAUUAUCUGUGAUUUCUUCUUAUGGAAUUCUACUGAAUGCACCUUGGCCUCCAUGAAUCUCCCUCAAGUCUCUAUCCUUUUCCCCUAUUUAUGAUGUCUUUUCCUGUGUGAUCUACAUUUUAAGAAAUGUCAUUUUUUCUUCUACAAGAUAGUUAGCUUUAUCCUCUGAUUUUUCAGACAAUCCUCUGAAAUUUUUACUUACGUAAUUCUAUUCUAAUUUUAUUAUAUCCUACUUUUUCCCAAAGCAAUAUAAUAUUAUUUUUAUUGAUGGUGUAUUUUGUUAAUUGGGAUUUAAAAAUCUUCUCUCCUAAAGUUUUUUCUUGAGAUAACUCAGCUUCUUCUUGGAUUGGUCCUAUUCAUUCAUUUUGGUAGAGAUAGAGAGGCCAAGUUCUUGUUUUCCUAUAAUACCUGGCUAUUCUGAUAGUUAGAUUAUGUUUAUGAAUGAAGACUUAGGAUGACUGGUAUAAGUAAUGUGCUAUGUUUCCUCUGAAGUAGUGAAGAUCUGAUUUCCCUGUAGAGAAUAAGAGUAGGGCUUUUGGAGAACGAGAUCAUAUCCCUUGCAGGGAUGUGCAUGGAGCUGGAGGCUGUUAGCAAACUUGCACAGGA
Long non-coding RNA from Homo sapiens (human), 5660 nucleotides. RefSeq lists it as uncharacterized. The transcript has 2 exons. The record is from RefSeq and is a predicted model, not a curated record. Lineage: Eukaryota; Metazoa; Chordata; Mammalia; Primates; Hominidae.